RNAcentral lists this long non-coding RNA (748 nucleotides) under Homo sapiens (human). Its description in RNAcentral is "HSALNT0362881". The record is from RNAcentral. Lineage: Eukaryota; Metazoa; Chordata; Mammalia; Primates; Hominidae.
GGACUUCUUUGGCCAAGAGGGGGCCCGGGCUGUCACCAUUCCCGGCAAGCCCGCGACCAAGCAGGCAGCGGAGGCGGCGCAGGCCGAGAGCUCCCGCCCCUCUGACAGUGAGAGAAGGGUCGCAGCGCCCACGGCUGCCUAGAACCCGAAAGAAGAGGAGCGGGGUGCGGGGACACAGGGUUGCUCAAGAAAGUGAGCUAUGCGCAGUGCUCCGGAAGAGCUUGUCUCAAACCAGGUCCCAAGUGAGGGCAGAGGCGUAACUUCGUACUGGGCAGUUUAAAAGGUGUUCCAAUAUCGCAGUUAUCUCCGCGUGGACACUCCAUUAAACCGACCCCGCGUGUGAACACACUUGAUGAUGUUAUACCUAAGCUCCACUGCAACCAUUCACAAUGCCUCCAUUGCUAAAAUCAGUCAUCUUCCUGCGAAGGCAUGAGGAGGAAAAGAGAGGAAGUAACUGAGCGAUAAUAUGCUGUAUGAGCCUCCUGCUCUGCUGCCCAUUACCUGCGUCACCUCCACAAGCUACUGAACCUCAAGGAACCCAUCUCCUCAUCAGGAAAAAAAAUAAGCUUUAUGUAGCAGGGUCUGAACUCUGUAGGUCUUCACCACGGCUCAGGAGGAUGAGGAGCAGUGACAGGCCAAACUACGAGAAAAGACAGAGGGAAUCAAACUCAACACUGUGUCUAAACCUCCUCCACCACUGUUGAAGGGAUCCUGGCAUCAGAUGGGGAACAGCUCUAAAUCAAAAUAA